This 279-nucleotide ribosomal RNA is filed under the name uncultured bacterium. RNAcentral describes it as "partial 16S ribosomal RNA". It matches the Rfam family "Bacterial small subunit ribosomal RNA", at positions 506 to 784 of the family's 1533-position model. The record is from RNAcentral.
UGCCAGCAGCCGCGGUAAUACGGAGGGUGCAAGCGUUAUCCGGAUUUAUUAGGUUUAAAGGGUCCGUAGGCGGAAAUUUAAGUCAGUGGUGAAAGCCCAUAGCUCAACUAUGGAACUGCCAUUGAUACUGAAUUUCUUGAAUAUGAUUGAAGUGGGCGGAAUAUGUCAUGUAGCGGUGAAAUGCAUAGAUAUGACAUGGAACACCAAUUGCGAAGGCAGCUCACUAAACUAUUACUGACGCUCAUGAACGAAAGCAUGGGGAGCGAACAGGAUUAGAUA